RNAcentral lists this unclassified non-coding RNA (406 nucleotides) under Hevea brasiliensis (rubber tree). Lineage: Eukaryota; Viridiplantae; Streptophyta; Magnoliopsida; Malpighiales; Euphorbiaceae. The record is from RNAcentral.
GAUCUUGCACACCCAGCAGCAAAGGUAUGCUUUCUCUCUCCAAGCCCAAGCAAUCUUCCCUGUCAACUGGAACAAGAAACUAUUUAUGUUGUUUCUUGAUUUUUAUUUGGGUGUCUCUAAAACAAGUCCCCAACUUCGAUUGAAUUUGCUAUUAUGGCUUGCAUUUUUGAAGAUGAUAAAUUUUCGCAUGUACUUCAGUUAUAAGCUGCAAGUGCAUCUAGAUUCUUAAUCAAUUUUGGCCUUGAUUGCAACUCAUAAUUGAAGUAUAAAUAAAUAGGUCAUAAUUGUAAAUUGCAAAAGAGGUUAAGGGUUUUUGGGUGAUUAAUCAUUUUUAUAAUCGAUUGUAAUUUGAAUUUUUAUAUUUUAAUAGUAGUUUUCAGCUUAAUGUUUCUCACUUACUUUUCAC